UUAAAGUCAGAAACACAUUAUUGAUUAAGUUACAGGGAAACAGAGACCCAUAUACACUGCAGGUAAGAGGGUAACUUGGUCCAUCUAUUUGGCAGAGUUCCUCGGUUUUUUCUACAAGAACAACUUAGCCUUGCCUGAAGGAAAAACCUAGAAGCAAUUUGAAUUCUAGAUCUAUAGCUUAGACAAAAACCAUGUCCAUGAGUGUGAGGAUUCAUGCUGUGGGAGAGUCUCCACGCUCCCCACCCACUCCCAGCCACCAGGCGAGACUCUGUGAAUCACAGACGCCAGGUAUGCCGACAGAAGCGUGUGCUUUUAUUUGUUCUCUGGUCAAAACACAUUUUCCGUGCCCAGCCCUUUUCUGGGUGCCAGGAAUACACAAAGGACCGGGCACAGAGGAAGCAUCCGUGGCAGCACCAAGGCUUCAGCGGGGACUGCGGAUACCUCAGGCUUGUGUGGGAAGUGGACUCCCUGGACACCAGGAAUCCUCAGCUUCAUCACACUGGCAUCAAUCUGUCUGCAGAAAGAACAUUAGAUCAGCACGUCUACCUAUGGGGCAGCCACCUUAUGUCCAGAUUCUCCACCUCAAGUGGGACCCUGGCCAACAAGUUCCAAGGCCAUUUGGGGCAGGAAAGAUGGAGCGCGAGGUGGCAAAAUUGAAGAAUCACUGGUCUUGGGGGCCCACACCAAAGAUGUCUGAGACGGAAGCCUUGCCCCAGGUGACUGACUGCAUUGAACACGGUGGAUGCCAUGCUCAGGUCAAGAUCCUGGUCGACAUGGAGGCUCCAGGGAAGAAACCUGAGAACAGUGAUAGAGAGAGAUUUGGAGAGAGUUCGAACAACAGAGGUCAUAAAUAAAAUUCUUACCCAUCAUCAAGGCCGACAGAUGCCACUCCAAGACCUCCUCCUACCCAGGAGAAACUGCACAACUGAAUUCCCAUCCACCCAGGUUUCCUCAGCCAGGUUCUUCCUGGUUUGAAUUUUGGAAGUUUUGACAAGGCUUAAUUCCCUCCCAGGCACUCCCACAAUUUGGAAGGGGCUGCUGAGAUUUGCUCUUUUUUCUGCUGAAACCAGCUCCCUGGGGAGUAGACCCAGAAGGUGGGAAUGUGGCGUGUGGGGAUGGGAGCAGAAAAUAUGAACAUCUGGGGUAGAGGUUAGGGGAGCAGAUGGACAAUGGGAGGGCUCGGCCUGCUCCCCAACCAUAACCCUCCAUCACAGCGAUUUGUGAAGGUGCCAGCAAUAACGUUGCAGGAUUAUAACCUGCGGAAAAAUCUAAAUGAGAAAAUAAAAGUGAUGCCAAGCAAGGGCUUGACCUGCUCUCCGCAAGACAAAAGCCAAUCUGUCAAGAGGCAAGGCGGUGGAGAGAGAAAAUUUCACUUAAGCAAUGAGCUAGCUAACUGAAAGAUGGUGGACUAUGCUAAAAAACCAUCUGCGAGGGGAACUGAUUUGGAAAUGAGUUAUAUAAGGCCAACGGGGUCGGGGAGGGAACUCAGGAGUGCCAGGUAUUGGAUGACCGCAGACCGCCGGGCGCCUCUCUGUAGACAAAAGUUUUGGAUCUGCUGAAUGUGACAUUCCUGAGGAAUCUAAGAAAACAUAGUUGUUUUCUUCUGAGGGAGAGAAGCAAGAGUUUGGGCAGAGGCCUGAAAUCUUCUGCUAACAAGUCAUUCUCUCUACUGGUUGCUGACUGGUUACUCAUUAGCUUGCCUACGUGCAGGUCUAAGCGUUUCUCCAAAGCGCACGGCGAGAAUAAGCAGAGGGUGGGGGGUGGUUUAGACAUAAAGUCUCUCAUGCUAACUCGGUCUCAAAAGUUGCCAGCUGUUUCCCUACAAACAGAUACUCGAUAUUAAUAUUCUGACGUAUUUACCCCCAGUUCUUGUUCUGUGUGUUAUUUACAAAAUUGGAACUAUACUG
Molecule: long non-coding RNA, 1907 nt
Filed under: Equus caballus (horse)
Lineage: Eukaryota; Metazoa; Chordata; Mammalia; Perissodactyla; Equidae
Description: lncRNA (ENSECAG00000054120.1)
Source: RNAcentral